GGCGGCGUGCCUAACACAUGCAAGUCGAACGAGAAAGUGGAGCAAUCCAUGAGUAAAGUGGCGACCGGGUGAGUAACACGUGACUACCUACCCUUGAGUGGGGGAUAACCUCGGGAAACCGAGGCUAAUACCGCAUAAUAUCGAAAGAUCAAAGGAGUAAUCCGCUUUUGGAGGGGGUCGCGGCUGAUUAGCUAGUUGGUAGGGUAAUGGCCUACCAAGGCGAAGAUCGGUAUCCGGCCUGAGAGGGCGCACGGACACACUGGAACUGAAACACGGUCCAGACUCCUACGGGAGGCGGCAGUGGGGAAUUUUGCGCAAUGGGGGAAACCCUGACGCAGCAACGCCGCGUGGAGGAUGAAGCCCCUUGGGGUGUAAACUCCUUUCGACCGGGAAAAUUAUGAUGGUACCGGUGGAAGAAGCACCGGCUAACUCUGUGCCAGCAGCCGCGGUAAUACAGANGGUGCGAGCGUUGUUCGGAAUUAUUGGGCGUNAAGGGCGCGUA
RNAcentral lists this ribosomal RNA (502 nucleotides) under uncultured Acidobacteriota bacterium. RNAcentral describes it as "bacterial SSU rRNA". It matches the Rfam family "Bacterial small subunit ribosomal RNA", at positions 38 to 573 of the family's 1533-position model. Lineage: Bacteria; Pseudomonadati; Acidobacteriota. The record is from RNAcentral.